Molecule: ribosomal RNA, 433 nt
Filed under: uncultured bacterium
Lineage: Bacteria
Description: partial 16S ribosomal RNA
Rfam family: Bacterial small subunit ribosomal RNA
Source: RNAcentral
AACGAACGCUGGCGGCAUGCCUAACACAUGCAAGUCGAACGAGACCUUCGGGUCUAGUGGCGCACGGGUGCGUAACGCGUGGGAACCUGCCCUUAGGUUCGGAAUAACUCCCCGAAAGGGGUGCUAAUACCGGAUAAUGUCUUCGGACCAAAGAUUUAUCGCCUUUGGAUGGGCCCGCGUUGGAUUAGCUAGUUGGUAGGGUAAAAGCCUACCAAGGCGACGAUACAUAGCUGGUCUGAGAGGAUGAUCAGCCACACUGGGACUGAGACACGGCCCAGACUCCUACGGGAGGCAGCAGUGGGGAAUAUUGGACAAUGGGCGAAAGCCUGAUCCAGCAAUGCCGCGUGAGUGAUGAAGGCCUUAGGGUUGUAAAGCUCUUUUACCCGGGAUGAUAAUGACAGUACCGGGAGAAUAAGCGCCGGCUAACUCCGUG